Molecule: ribosomal RNA, 581 nt
Filed under: Cosmospora sp.
Lineage: Eukaryota; Fungi; Ascomycota; Sordariomycetes; Hypocreales; Nectriaceae
Description: eukaryotic LSU rRNA
Rfam family: 5.8S ribosomal RNA (bases 187-340)
Source: RNAcentral
CGUUGGUGAACCAGCGGAGGGAUCAUUACCGAGUUUACAACUCCCAAACCCCUGUGAACAUACCUAUGUUGCUUCGGCGGACCGUCCCGGUGCCCCCCUCGCGGGGCCCGGACCCAGGCGCCCGCCGGAGGACCCCAAACUCUUGUUUUAACCAGUAUCUUCUGAGUAAAUAAGCAAAUAAAUUAAAACUUUCAACAACGGAUCUCUUGGUUCUGGCAUCGAUGAAGAACGCAGCGAAAUGCGAUAAGUAAUGUGAAUUGCAGAAUUCCGUGAGUCAUCGAAUCUUUGAACGCACAUUGCGCCCGCCAGUAUUCUGGCGGGCAUGCCUGUUCGAGCGUCAUUUCAACCCUCAAGCCCAGCUUGGUGUUGGGGAUCGGCCCCUGUCCCCUCGCGGGACGGGCCGGCCCCGAAUUCUAGUGGCGGUCUCGCCGUAGCUUCCUCUGCGUAGUAGCAAUAUCUCGCACCGGAACGCAGCAAGGCCACGCCGUUAAACCCCCCACUUCUGAAAGGUUGACCUCGGAUCAGGUAGGAAUACCCGCUGAGCUUAAGCAUAUCAAUAAGCGGAGGAAAAGAAACCAACA